AACGAACGCUGGCGGCAGGCUUAACACAUGCAAGUCGAACGCCCCGCAAGGGGAGUGGCAGACGGGUGAGUAACGCGUGGGAAUCUACCCAUCCCUACGGAAUAACGCAUGGAAACGUGUGCUAAUACCGUAUACGCCCUACGGGGGAAAGAUUUAUCGGGGAUGGAUGAGCCCGCGUUGGAUUAGCUAGUUGGUGGGGUAAAGGCCUACCAAGGCGACGACCCAUAGCUGGUCUGAGAGGAUGAUCAGCCACAUUGGGACUGAGACACGGCCCAAACUCCUACGGGAGGCAGCAGUGGGGAAUAUUGGACAAUGGGCGCAAGCCUGAUCCAGCCAUGCCGCGUGAGUGAUGAAGGCCUUAGGGUUGUAAAGCUCUUUCACCGGAGAAGAUAAUGACGGUAUCCGGAGAAGAAGCCCCGGCUAACUUCGUG
This 431-nucleotide ribosomal RNA is filed under the name uncultured bacterium. RNAcentral describes it as "partial 16S ribosomal RNA". It matches the Rfam family "Bacterial small subunit ribosomal RNA", at positions 29 to 507 of the family's 1533-position model. The record is from RNAcentral.